This 31-nucleotide non-coding RNA is filed under the name Mus musculus (house mouse). Lineage: Eukaryota; Metazoa; Chordata; Mammalia; Rodentia; Muridae. The record is from RNAcentral.
UGACACACAAUGUCACAAUGUCACUGGGUUC